AGUCCUGGGGCUCCCCUACGUCAAUUCAGCCUGAAAUGAGUACCUGGUGCGUUGGGAAAAGAGAAUGGCGGCUGGACAUGGUACAGCCCAGCCACCCCCUCAUGCGCCGGAGUCACCCUGCAAGGUUGACUACGGCCUGGCUACGUUUCCUAAAGUCGGCCGUCCCCCAGAUGAACAGGAGACAAAAUGAAGAGCCAUCCCUUGUGAGUGCAGUUAAAGUGAUCGGGGCUCAACAACAAAAAGACGGACAAAUUUCCACCGGAUCGAAGACUGUGGUGUGUAAAUAAAUGUGUUGAUAUAGUUGCUUGGU
Molecule: non-coding RNA, 310 nt
Organism: Petromyzon marinus (sea lamprey)
Lineage: Eukaryota; Metazoa; Chordata; Hyperoartia; Petromyzontiformes; Petromyzontidae
Source: RefSeq, a predicted model, not a curated record